CUCUUGGGUGUGGGGAAGCCCCAAGCAGGAUGGAGGCUGAGUUACAGAAUAACAACGAGGGUCAGAAAUGAAGUUGGUUUCAAAAAAAAAGGACCACGCUUCCUGAGCACCUGAGCUUAUGGAGCCAUCCUCCUGCCCAGGGUGCUAGCGUUUCCUGCACCACCUGCCUGGGAGGUCAUUACCAUCUGCACCGUUCUGCCACCUCCUGCUCUCUCUGCAAGCUGUGGCCUGGUCACAAGAUCCUGCUGG
This 249-nucleotide long non-coding RNA is filed under the name Pan troglodytes (chimpanzee). Its description in RNAcentral is "long non-coding RNA NONPTRT006205". Lineage: Eukaryota; Metazoa; Chordata; Mammalia; Primates; Hominidae. The record is from RNAcentral.